AUCACUUCUUGGCCUUUUGGUUAAGACCAAGUGUAGUAUCUGUUCUUUUCAGUUUAAUAUUUUAUAUUUAAGUAUUGAUAAAAACUAACAGGGAAAAGAAAGGUAAAGAGGCCUGGCAUCAGUGGCCUCCAUCGCUUGUCAUAU
This is a non-coding RNA of Pteropus alecto (black flying fox), 144 nucleotides long. NCBI's taxonomy places the organism in Eukaryota, Metazoa, Chordata, Mammalia, Chiroptera, Pteropodidae. The record is from Rfam.